AUUGAACGCUGGCGGAAUGCUUUACACAUGCAAGUCGAGCGGCAGCGCGGGGCAACCUGGCGGCGAGCGGCGAACGGGUGAGUAAUGCAUCGGAACGUACCCCGUCGUGGGGGAUAACUACCCGAAAGGGUAGCUAAUACCGCAUACGACCUGAGGGUGAAAGCGGGGGACCGAAAGGCCUCGCGCGAUGGGGAGCGGCCGAUGCCGGAUUAGCUAGUUGGUAGGGUAAAGGCCUACCAAGGCGACGAUCCGUAGCUGGUCUGAGAGGACGACCAGCCACACUGGAACUGAGACACGGUCCAGACUCCUACGGGAGGCAGCAGUGGGGAAUUUUGGACAAUGGGCGAAAGCCGUGAUCCAGCCAUUCCGCGUGAGUGAAGAAGGCCUCGGUUCGUAAG
RNAcentral lists this ribosomal RNA (398 nucleotides) under uncultured bacterium. RNAcentral's name for it is "bacterial SSU rRNA". It matches the Rfam family "Bacterial small subunit ribosomal RNA", at positions 29 to 429 of the family's 1533-position model. The record is from RNAcentral.